RNAcentral lists this transfer RNA (77 nucleotides) under Rivularia sp. IAM M-261. Its description in RNAcentral is "tRNA-Met". The record is from RNAcentral. Lineage: Bacteria; Bacillati; Cyanobacteriota; Cyanophyceae; Nostocales; Rivulariaceae.
AGCGGGGAUGGAGCAACAGUGGCUCGCCAGGUUCAUACCCUGGAAAUCGGCAAGCGCAAUUCUUGCCCCCGUCACCA